RNAcentral lists this ribosomal RNA (463 nucleotides) under uncultured bacterium. RNAcentral's name for it is "partial 16S ribosomal RNA". It matches the Rfam family "Bacterial small subunit ribosomal RNA", at positions 28 to 507 of the family's 1533-position model. The record is from RNAcentral.
GAUGAACGCUGACAGAAUGCUUAACACAUGCAAGUCUUUGGCGAAGCUGUGCUUGCACAGCCUAGCCAAGGCGGACGGGUGAGUAACGCGUAAGGAACUUGCCCUGCAGUCAGGGAUAACAGACGGAAACGACUGAUAAGACCUGGUAAAGUCAGGCGGACUCACGUCCAGCCUGAUGAAAAGAGAUGCUGCAGGAGAGCCUUGCGUCCUAUUAGCUUGUUGGUGGGGUAACGGCCCACCAAGGCGAUGAUAGGUAGCCGGCCUGAGAGGGUGGACGGCCACAAGGGGACUGAGAUACGGCCCUUACUCCUACGGGAGGCAGCAGUAGGGAAUAUUGGACAAUGGGGGCAACCCUGAUCCAGCAAUUCUGUGUGCACGAUGAAGGUUUUCGGAUUGUAAAGUGCUUUCAGCAGGGAAGAAAAAAAUGACGGUACCUGCAGAAGAAGCGACGGCUAAAUACGUG